UCGUGAGUGCUAAAUAGGAUGUUCAAUUUAAGGAAAAAACACAUCGUAAAUUUUGAGUUACGAUCAUCUUUUUCUAAAAUUAAGUCCAAGUUACGAUCAUCCAUAGACGCAGUUACGAUCAUCAUCGUGAUUUUUUCAAUCUCAAUUUUCGUUCUUCUGGUUGUUUUUCUAUCAUUUAGGAAAAACACAUUCAAUGACAAUGCUUAUUAAGAUUUUACUUGAUAUAAAACAAAUCUGUAAAUAAGCUGUUAAAGUGGAGGAAUAGGCCUUCUAAAAUUUCCCUCAAUUUGUGUCUGCCAUAUUGGGAUGAUCAUAAUUACAGUUACGAUCAUCACGUUGACACUGGUGCUUGCUGACAGAACUAUUGCCAUUAUUAAGAAUCCAUCUACCCCAGUUGCAAGCGAAGUAAGAUAAAUCCUAUCUUUUAAAACUAGGAAAUCCAUACAGUAAUAGACUGACAUAAAUAAAAUUUUACCUUUCAAUUUAAGUUGCGAAAAUAAUUAGAUAUUUCUUGAAUAAGUAUUCUUUUUUUUUGGUCCAAGACUGUGUGUUGACAUAUAUACUUUAAAGUUCUUAAGACUUUAAUAAUUAAAUUUAGUAGCUGUUUUAAGGAAAGAGUAUUGCCAAAGUACAAUCUGUAGUUACUAUUUUUGCCUUUUCACAGUUUCAGCAAGCUGAUCUGCGCCACAAAAAUCUUUAACAUUUUUAUUCCAUUGCUUUCAGGGGAAAUCACAAUAAAAUUUCUCCAAAUAUAUUGUUCACUUUAAACCCCUUCAGUCCUUUAAAAAACAUUCAAAUGAUCUUUAUUGUUAGGUUACAUCGACCAUGAUAAUUUUUUGUCAUAAAAUAUAUUCGAUGAAUAUAUAUAUAUAUAGCAACCCACAAUCAAUAAAUAUACGAGUGUACCAGCAAGUUGUCAAAACUAGUAGAUAUUUUAUUAAAUAACUUCUUCAUUUAUUUUUUAUGGAAGACUGUAUGUUGACCUAUAUAUGCCUUUGUUAUUUCUGUGUUGUUGAGUUGCUGUCUGAUUGGCAUAUAUCCUAUAUAUCUUCACUUGUCUGCUUUGUCUGCUUUGUGUGUUUAUAGUCUAUUCAGUGUUAUUAUUUAAUCUAUUUAUUUUGAUUCAAACUCUCUCUCAUUAUAUAAAAUUGUACUGAUGAAAGAUGCAUAUCAUGUUUGCAUCUUUAAAUCAAUAAUUUUUGAAAGUUUACAUGCACCUAAAACAUGUCUCAAAUGAUAUUUUUAAGAGAUAACUCUAACUGUGUAUGGGAUAUGAAACAUUACUUACUUAAGGAGUUAAUGGUGUUUUUAAGAUCAUAUAUACAAAAAAAGUAUUAUUUUUUGCUUUAAGGAUUAAUUCAGUAGUGAAGUAAAGCUAUUCUCCAUUAACAACUUGUAUUAAUCUGAUUUUUAUUAGAUUACUUCAUGCUGAUUUAAUCUGUCCUAGAUUUAAAUAUGUUUUUGGCAGACUAUUCACAUUAUUGGUAGUAUCAUUGUGGUGUUUUGAUUUCUCAAUUUUCAAACUGGAAUCCAAUUUCCUGUCUAAUGGUAACUGUCUAAAUGAUAAUGUUCUACAACUCAACUGAAAACUUAACACUUUCUUUGUCUUGAGAGUGACUAUUAACAGUGGAAUAUAGAUAUACAGCUGAUUCUGUCUGCGUCUUGGUCAUGUGUCACAAACAUUCAGAUUUACAUUAUUUUCAUAGCUCUUAAAAGUUUAUAAGUAUCAGCAUGGGCUUGAUUUAUAUUUUGUUGUGAAAAUGACAAUAUAAAAUAAAAGAGAACAUAUAAUGUUAAAUUGCCAAUGAGACAACUAUACACUGUCCAAAUGACAUGCAUGUAAACAACUAAAGGUCACUAAAUGACCUUCAACAAAUGAGCAAAAACAAACUUAUCCUAACAUUAAAUAAGCAGAAUCCAUACAGAAUAAACAUAGCACUUAAUGUUAUCUUUUGUUGUUUACAAUUAUUUAUCUAUUUAGCCACAGAUUUUGUAGUAAUUUGGUGUCAAUUGAUAAAUCUAUUGAAUGUCUGUAAUUGUAUGUAUGCAUUAAGGGGCAUUAUUCUCUUUCUUUAAAUUGUAUCAUUGAUAUACACUUUAACUUAAUGUGUCUUAUUCAGCAUGAAACUUUAUAUUUGCUUUAAGCAUGCUAUCAUUGACAGUAAAUGUUCUUUAGAAAUGUAUAUAUCUGCCAUUAUCUGGUUAAUGAUUAGAUAAAAGUGCAAAUGAUAACAUCACUUAAGUGGAAACAUUUCUCAGUUAUGCAGUAUUUGAGGCAAACAGUAUUUAUAUUUGUACAUAAAAUGUAACUUAAAUUUUGUGGAGGAUAAGAUGAUAAAAAGAUGUUAUUUCUUGAACAUUUUGCUUUUAAAAAUACAUGACAGAAGAUAUUAUGGAAGGAGGAUGGACAGUUUCAUGGCAAGACUUUUUUAUUUCAUCAAAAAUGGUCAAACAUAUUAUAAUUUGCAGAAGGUUCUCAUUUCAGUGUAUUUGACCUACAUUCAAUGAUUGGUUGACUUGAACAUAAAAAGAUGGGUUCCUUUCUGAAGAAAUAUGUUGAUUCAUAUAAAGAAUACUUCAACAUUAAAGUACAGAAAGCUUGUGUUACUGUUUGGUUACAAUCACUUGCAUUUAUUUACUGUCAGAUUUUGCAAUUUUGCAUUUUUUUUUAUGCUAAGGUAUUAGGUCUAGAGUUCAGGAUCAUGUUAAUCCUCAUGACUUUAAAUAACUUGGGUAAUGUUUGGCUUUUAGGUUAGAGUAAAAUAAACAAGUUUUUUUUUCUUUUACAACUAUCACUAUGUUCACAUUCUUCUUAUAAAAAUGAAUACAAGAAAAUGUUCUUUAAAUUAUUUGUUCCCUGGUAUACAUAUAUACUGCAGCUGUGCUAUUUGAGCAGUCAGAUUGCAUUGACCGUAUAUUCAUAUGUGAUAUACAGUCACUGACCGUAUAUCACCUUGUUUAUGACGUUGACAAUGUGUUUCCGUAGAGUUUUAUUUAUGACGUCAAUAAAACAUACAGGUUCGCGGAAAUUUUACGUCUUCUGCUCAAAAUUAAGAAAUGAUGGUUUUUACCCUAAAUACUUCAUUUAGAACAGUUAUAAGAGUUGCAGUAUAUAAAGAAUAAUCAUACAUUGUCUUGAAAUAUCAAUUUGUUAUUUGUACUCGGCCCGAAACAGGUAGAAAUGCUCGGCACAGCCUCGCUUUCUACCUGUUUCUAAGCCUUGUACAAAUAACAUUGAUAUUUCGAGACAAUGUAUGGUUAUUCUAUAUGUAUAGUUCCUGCUAGUGUUAUUUUUGGUAAUACAAUAAGCAGAUUUAAUGUUAUUUAUCAUGUCAUCAGUUGUCUUUAUUGUAUUGUAUUAGUUCCAUUAUUUCUAUCUUUAAUAUGCACUAUUAUAAUGUUCAUCAAUCCAAAGUCAAAUAAAUUUAUUUUCUUUAUUGUGAUAUUUGAAAUUAAAACCAAGUCAUUAAA
RNAcentral lists this long non-coding RNA (3471 nucleotides) under Mytilus galloprovincialis (Mediterranean mussel). Lineage: Eukaryota; Metazoa; Mollusca; Bivalvia; Mytilida; Mytilidae. The record is from RNAcentral.